GUUGGAAGUCCCGUUGAGCUUGUCCCAUCUGAAGGUGCAAGGACACUGCUCCUGGAAACAAAAGCUCCUUGUGUGCUGGGGUCUGAACUUCGAGGAGAUCUGAGACGCUGCAAGGAACCUCAAGGCAGAGCAACAUCUGGGGGCAUAAUCCCCACCACAGCACAGGAUACCUGGGGGCAGAGUCUCUCUGUGAGUGGGGACAUCACUGUGGGGUUUGGUUAUAUGCACAGGCUUUCGAGUGUGCUUUUGGAAACUCCUUCGCUUGGUGCCUUGCGGGUAGUGGAGCCUUCUUUGCAGCCAGCAGGUGUGGGUCUGGAGAACAGGCAGUCUGUCCUGCACCCUACCUGGAGGCCAGAAGAUCAAGGAGACCAACAGUUUACUAUUAAACCAACGCACACAAGUUCCCUGGACCUGGCCGCGCACUUACACUCUUUGUCCCUUGACAGAAGAGAAAGCAAAGAGAGCACAGAUACCACCACAUACCGAGGGAUCAGCAGAGUCAGUUUAGAGGAGGAUGAAAGCCAUCCCCAGUUGAGUGUCUUGGCUGAUGGUGCAGUGAGUAGUGAUGCUGGUGGCCUUGCAAAGACCCUCAUGCCCAGCCUGAGUAGCCUGUAUGAAGUGGUAAAUGGGGACCACUCACAUCUGCUACCUGAGAGAAGUCAAAGGUACCAAAGCAGUUUGGGGCAUUUGUCCAUGACUCAACCUGAGUUGGGAAAAGCUGGCCUCCAACAUACAAAGCUCAUGAGUAUUUCCUCCCCAGAAUGCGUUUGGGGUGUUGUUGAGGGGAAAACAGUGUUGCAUCCCACAGCGCCAUGGGACAUGCUCCAAGAACAUCCUCAAUUGUGCAGCCAGAGCAGUCAUGUCCAGCAUUCAGCCUCUGCAGACCCUGGGAGCCUUCCCCCAAAUGUCCAAGCACACAAUGGUCCAGCUGCUGAGAAAGCUCCUGUGUCUUCCUUGAGUGUAAAAGGCUGCCACCACCAGAGUGACAGAGCUGCACAGCCAAGGUUGGUCAUACCUGCUUUGCCAACAAGGAUGAAGCAUCUUUCCACAACCAUGUCCGC
RNAcentral lists this long non-coding RNA (1061 nucleotides) under Calidris pugnax (ruff). RNAcentral describes it as "lncRNA (ENSCPUG00000002936.1)". Lineage: Eukaryota; Metazoa; Chordata; Aves; Charadriiformes; Scolopacidae. The record is from RNAcentral.